UUGUUUUACGAAUUUAUUUGUUUAUAAUUUGGUAACAUAUAGAUAUUUAAAUAUUCGGUACAUUUUGCUUUAGUUUAGGAAAUCUUUGAUGACCCGUCUUUAGAUCCAAUAAGCCCUAUAAUAAAAAAAUGAAUAUUGUAGUUAAAUGAUUUUGGUAACCUUAAUGACGUUAUUAAAAGAUU
RNAcentral lists this small RNA (182 nucleotides) under Arabidopsis thaliana (thale cress). RNAcentral describes it as "ATSL189940". Lineage: Eukaryota; Viridiplantae; Streptophyta; Magnoliopsida; Brassicales; Brassicaceae. The record is from RNAcentral.